RNAcentral lists this non-coding RNA (98 nucleotides) under Flavobacteriaceae bacterium UJ101. RNAcentral's name for it is "TPP riboswitch aptamer (THI element)". It matches the Rfam family "TPP riboswitch aptamer (THI element)". Rfam says of the family: Vitamin B(1) in its active form thiamin pyrophosphate (TPP) is an essential coenzyme that is synthesised by coupling of pyrimidine and thiazole moieties in bacteria. Lineage: Bacteria; Pseudomonadati; Bacteroidota; Flavobacteriia; Flavobacteriales; Flavobacteriaceae. RNAcentral also lists the same sequence under 1 other name. The record is from Rfam by way of RNAcentral.
UAUAAACUUUAGGGGUGUUCUAAUUUUUUAGAACUGAGAAAUUACCCUUUGAACCUGAUACUGUUUGUACAGUCGUAGGAAAAAGUUGAUUUCAUUCG